This 404-nucleotide ribosomal RNA is filed under the name Actinomycetes bacterium. RNAcentral's name for it is "Actinobacteria bacterium partial 16S ribosomal RNA". It matches the Rfam family "Bacterial small subunit ribosomal RNA", at positions 355 to 776 of the family's 1533-position model. Lineage: Bacteria; Bacillati; Actinomycetota; Actinomycetes. The record is from RNAcentral.
UGGGGAAUAUUGGACAAUGGGCGCAAGCCUGAUCCAGCCAUGCCGCGUGAGUGAUGAAGGCCCUAGGGUUGUAAAGCUCUUUCACCGGUGAAGAUAAUGACGGUAACCGGAGAAGAAGCCCCGGCUAACUUCGUGCCAGCAGCCGCGGUAAUACGAAGGGGGCUAGCGUUGUUCGGAUUUACUGGGCGUAAAGCGCACGUAGGCGGACUUUUAAGUCAGGGGUGAAAUCCCGGGGCUCAACCCCGGAACUGCCUUUGAUACUGGAAGUCUUGAGUAUGGUAGAGGUGGGUGGAAUUCCGAGUGUAGAGGUGAAAUUCGUAGAUAUUCGGAGGAACACCAGUGGCGAAGGCGGCUCACUGGGCCAUUACUGACGCUGAGGUGCGAAAGCGUGGGGAGCAAACAGG